RNAcentral lists this ribosomal RNA (527 nucleotides) under uncultured bacterium. RNAcentral describes it as "bacterial SSU rRNA". It matches the Rfam family "Bacterial small subunit ribosomal RNA", at positions 355 to 899 of the family's 1533-position model. The record is from RNAcentral.
UGGGGAAUCUUGCACAAUGGGCGAAAGCCUGAUGCAGCAACGCCGCGUGCGGGAAGACAGCCCUAGGGUUGUAAACCGCUUUCAGCAGGGAAGAAACUGACGGUACCUGCAGAAGAAGAUGCGGCCAACUACGUGCCAGCAGCCGCGGUGACACGUAGGCAUCAAGCGUUAUCCGGAUUUAUUGGGCGUAAAGAGCUCGUAGGCGGUUCGGUAAGUCGGGUGUGAAAACUCUGGGCUCAACCCAGAGAGGCCACUCGAUACUGCUGUGACUAGAGUGCGGUAGGGGAGCGGGGAAUUCCUGGUGUAGCGGUGAAAUGCGCAGAUAUCAGGAGGAACACCAGUGGCGAAGGCGCCGCUCUGGGCCGUAACUGACGCUGAGGAGCGAAAGCAUGGGUAGCAAACAGGAUUAGAUACCCUGGUAGUCCACGCCGUAAACGAUGUCUGCUAGACGUCGGGGGGCGCAGCCCUUCGGUGUCGCAGCUAACGCAUUAAGCAGACCGCCUGGGAGUACGGCCGCAAGGUUAAAA